AUCGUAACUCCUACGGGAGGCAGCAGUGGGGAAUUUUGGACAAUGGGGGCAACCCUGAUCCAGCAAUGCGCGUGAGUGGAGAAGGCCUUCGGGUUGUAAGGCUCUUUUGUCAGGGAAGAAACGGUAGUAGCUAAUAUCUAUUACUAAUGACGGUACCUGAAGAAUAAGCACCGGCUAACUACGUGCCAGCAGCCGCGGUAAUACGUAGGGUGCAAGCGUUAAUCGGAAUUACUGGGCGUAAAGCGUGCGCAGGCGGUUGUGUAAGUCAGAUGUGAAAUCCCCUGGCUCAACCUGGGAAUUGCAUUUGAGACUGCACGGCUAGAGUGUGGCAGAGGUGGAUAGAAUUCCACGUGUAGCAGUGAAAUGCGUAGAUAUGGGGAGGAAUACCGAUGGCGAAGGCAGCCCCCUGGGAUAACACUGACGCUCAUGCACGAAAGCGUGGGGAGCAAACAGGAUUAGAAACCCUGGUAGUCCUAGAGC
Molecule: ribosomal RNA, 480 nt
Filed under: uncultured bacterium
Lineage: Bacteria
Description: bacterial SSU rRNA
Rfam family: Bacterial small subunit ribosomal RNA
Source: RNAcentral